This 238-nucleotide long non-coding RNA is filed under the name Solanum tuberosum (potato). Its description in RNAcentral is "long non-coding RNA (STUB_LNC011427)". The record is from RNAcentral. Lineage: Eukaryota; Viridiplantae; Streptophyta; Magnoliopsida; Solanales; Solanaceae.
CAGUUUAUCAACAACUUUAUUUGUCACUCUUAAGAAGUUGAGAAUAAAAUAAAAGUCUUUCAUUAUCUCUAGUCACAUUUUAACAGUCUUUUAGUUAAGAACAAACUUAUAUCCCUUCCUUGGCAUCAACUAAUGCAUUGCCAAAGCAUUUACUUCAACAAUAUUUUGGGUAAGACAUAAUUGAACCAAGUAAUAAUUUAAAUUAUGUGAUAAAUGCUAUCCUAACCCUCGACAAUCU